This 176-nucleotide ribosomal RNA is filed under the name uncultured Rhodococcus sp. RNAcentral describes it as "partial 16S ribosomal RNA". It matches the Rfam family "Bacterial small subunit ribosomal RNA", at positions 339 to 527 of the family's 1533-position model. Lineage: Bacteria; Bacillati; Actinomycetota; Actinomycetes; Mycobacteriales; Nocardiaceae. The record is from RNAcentral.
CUACGGGAGGCAGCAGUGGGGAAUAUUGCACAAUGGGCGGAAGCCUGAUGCAGCGACGCCGCGUGAGGGAUGAAGGCCUUCGGGUUGUAAACCUCUUUCAGCAGGGACGAAGCGUGAGUGACGGUACCUGCAGAAGAAGCACCGGCUAACUACGUGCCAGCAGCCGCGGUAAUUCA